CACUCUAGCCUAUAGAAGAGCAAGGCUGUUGCGAAUAGGGGAAUGCAAGCAGUUGAGGGGAACUAGUGAAAGACUCUUACCUGCUGUUCAACACAAGGCCCCAAACACCACUGCAGACAGAUAAUUAUUCACUCCCAGUCCUAUGAUCUUGCUCUGUGAAGGAGGUUUGCUUUUCAGCAUCCAAUUUAUGGCAGCCUUCUCCCUAGUUGACUUGGGCAUGUGAGUGAUUCGAGAACGUUUGGCUUUGGUAUCCAAGGUGUUUGAGAAUGUUGGGGGCCAGUGUUCUGAGGGGCUGACUGUGACAUCAUAAAGUGGAAUGUAGUUAGUGUGCUGUUUGAGGGAUUCCAAUUCAGUCCGGUGCAGUCUUCCAGACAGUGCAGUUGUGCUUAGUCUGCUCUCUGUGUGAUGACUUGUAAGUUGAUUGUGACUAGAUGGAGUACAGCUACGACCGGAAGUCACAUUUUCGCUUAUAGAGGUAUCACCACCCCUCCUAUUGGCACCUCAGGUCCUCUUGGCCCCCUGACUGUCAGGCUGGAUCCUGUCUAGGGAAGAAAGAAGAAGAAUUAUGUUAUUAAUGACAGUCAAUAUACUACCGCUGCAAGAUGACAUGGCCUUCCACAAGGCCUAAAGAACUCGAAGAGGUCCCAUCUCUAUUAGAGGGUUUCAACGUGUGAGGGGCAACUGCAGUGGGGUGAAUCAUACUAGUUCAGUGUUUCCUAACUCCAGUGGUAAGAGUAGCCUACCCCCAACAAUACCCAUUUGUGUUUUAGCCCUGGACAGGCACACCUGAUUCAACAUACUUGUCAACCAAGUUCUCAAUGAGUUGAAUCAGGUGCAACAACAACAAUGUUGAUCCCCCAGUUGUCACAGUUUGGCCUUGUGUCCACAUAGCCUAUAUGAGUAUUUGAGUAUGUUCCCUGUGCAUGUUAGUUGCUUUCAUUUUGUCUUUUCUGAACCCACUAUUGCUCCUCCCUAGUUCCCUCGAACGAGUGCACUCCCCUUUGCAACAGAGGCCAGGCAAAAGCGCACGCUUGCUGUGCCACUGGCCUCAAUCAGGUCCACCAAACACAGAUAAUAGCGUCUUAGAAUGUUAUCGGUAGUUGAUCUUGUUUUUCUGAAGCCAGCUUGGUGGAUUCCAAGGAGGCCCAUUUCCUCAGUGUGGCUCCUCAGUCUUUGGGUGAGUACUCCCUCAAACAGCUUCCCAACAUGACUGUGGAGGCUGAUUGGUCUAUAACUUGUGAUGUUGUGUGGGUCUUUACCAGGUUGUGAAUCAUUGUGACAACUGCAGAUUUCCAAGGUAGGGGAAAAUGGCCAUCCAUGAAACAUGUGGUGAAGAGGUUAGAAAGGAGGUGCAGGUAUUCAUCAGGUGCUUGCUUGAUGAGUGUGCUGUCAAUGUCUUCCCCAGAUGCUUUGUUUUUCGUUUUUUUUCAGAUGAGUCUUAAUUUCUUCAAUAGUAACAGAGCGGGUGAGGGGAUGGUCUACUGGUGUCAGACUUGAAGUAUAUACUGUUUUUCGACAAUGUUUUUCCAUUCUUUGCCAUAGAGGGAUUAAUUGGGACAAGAAUGAACAUUUUGUAGGUGGUUUCUAAAUAAUGAAUUUGUCUUGAGACUUCAGCACAGGUAUGAUAUUAUUGGUUUUGUCUCCGUUAAUUGCUUUGAUUUUUUUGCCAGAAGGUCCGGGGGUUAGUGUCUGUAUCUAGCUGGUGAUAAAAGGCAGUCCCCUGUUUCUAUUUGUGGA
Molecule: non-coding RNA, 1737 nt
Organism: Salmo salar (Atlantic salmon)
Lineage: Eukaryota; Metazoa; Chordata; Actinopteri; Salmoniformes; Salmonidae
Source: RefSeq, a predicted model, not a curated record